Triticum aestivum (bread wheat) is the source of this 98-nucleotide non-coding RNA. The record is from Rfam. Lineage: Eukaryota; Viridiplantae; Streptophyta; Magnoliopsida; Poales; Poaceae.
GUAGUACUCCCUUCGUCCGAAAAUACUUAUCAUCAAAAUGGGUAAAAAGAGAUGUAUCUAGUUUGAUGACAAGUAUUUCCGGACGGAGGGAGUAGUUG